Molecule: unclassified non-coding RNA, 346 nt
Filed under: Hevea brasiliensis (rubber tree)
Lineage: Eukaryota; Viridiplantae; Streptophyta; Magnoliopsida; Malpighiales; Euphorbiaceae
Source: RNAcentral
GAGAGAGAGAGAGAGAGAGAGAACGGCAGCAACUUUCAGAAAAGACAAAAGAGGGUGAAAGAGACAGUUUCAGCAGGUACAAUGGUGAGGUAAAGGCGAGCGUUUCUAAGUAACGAAUUUAUAGAGAGGAAAAGGAGAGGAGGUUGAGCAAUAGACGUUACUAAAUCACUGAUUUCGAUGCUGUCUCAGUCUCUCUCUGCAACUUGUCUCCGUCUUUGCUCAAACAAGCCAAAUGCUAGAGCGAGGUGAAGAAGGCUUUUCAUAUAAAAAAAAAAGGUUUGGUCAGGUCAGGUCUGGUCGGGUCGGUAAUUUUAACGCUGGGGUGUUGUGGAGGAUAUUGGGAGAU